CAGUCGUACCGACGAGAAAUCAACUUAUCGUGUGCGAACUUGUGGGCGUGCGUGAGUUUCGGCCUCGCUGUUUGCAUGUUUGUGCGCUUUGGGUGUACUUUUUCGUAUGGUAGGCCAACGUCAGUUUCGAUUAUCAUAAAAUGACCGGCGGAAUGUAGCUUCGAUUUCGGUUGAAGUGUUAUAGCCUCUGGUAGAUGUGGUGAUUGGGACUGAGGAUUGCAACGAAUAUCCUUUGGGCUAUCCGUCUGACCUCUGAAAGUUGCUCAGGUGCCGAAAGCGUGCUUACGGUCAUCUAAGAUAACGUUCACCAGGCUAGAACGUGAUUACAUUCGUUAAGGACGUUGGCGUAAUGGCUUUAAACGA
RNAcentral lists this ribosomal RNA (363 nucleotides) under uncultured Glomeraceae. RNAcentral's name for it is "partial large subunit ribosomal RNA". Lineage: Eukaryota; Fungi; Glomeromycota; Glomeromycetes; Glomerales; Glomeraceae. The record is from RNAcentral.